Molecule: ribosomal RNA, 482 nt
Filed under: uncultured bacterium
Lineage: Bacteria
Description: partial 16S ribosomal RNA
Rfam family: Bacterial small subunit ribosomal RNA
Source: RNAcentral
AUUGAACGCUGGCGGCAUGCUUUACACAUGCAAGUCGAACGGUAACAGGCCGCAAGGUGCUGACGAGUGGCGAACGGGUGAGUAAUGCAUCGGAACGUGCCCAGUCGUGGGGGAUAACUACUCGAAAGAGUAGCUAAUACCGCAUACGAUCUAUGGAUGAAAGCGGGGGACCGUAAGGCCUCGCGCGAUUGGAGCGGCCGAUGUCAGAUUAGGUAGUUGGUGGGGUAAAGGCUCACCAAGCCAACGAUCUGUAGCUGAUCUGAGAGGACGACCAGCCACACUGGGACUGAGACACGGCCCAGACUCCUACGGGAGGCAGCAGUGGGGAAUUUUGGACAAUGGGCGCAAGCCUGAUCCAGCAAUGCCGCGUGCAGGAAGAAGGCCUUCGGGUUGUAAACUGCUUUUGUACGGAACGAAACGGCUCUGGUUAAUACCCGGGGCUAAUGACGGUACCGUAAGAAUAAGCGCCGGCUAACUACGUG